GAUGAACGCUGGCGGCGCGCCUAACACAUGCAAGUCGAACGGCACCCACCCUCGGGUGGAAGCGAGUGGCGAACGGCUGAGUAACACGUGGAGAACCCGCCCCCUCCUCCGGGAUAGCCUCGGGAAACCGUGGGUAAUACCGGAUGACCCCGCAGGGCCGCAUGGCCCCGCGGGCAAAGCCCAGACGGGAGGGGAUGGCUCCGCGGCCCAUCAGGUAGACGGCGGGGUGACGGCCCACCGUGCCGACGACGGGUAGCCGGGUUGAGAGACCGACCGGCCAGAUUGGGACUGAGACACGGCCCAGACUCCUACGGGAGGCAGCAGUGGGGAAUCUUGCGCAAUGGGGGGAACCCUGACGCAGCGACGCCGCGUGCGGGACGAAGGCCCUCGGGUCGUAAACCGCUUUCAGCAGGGAUGAGGCAAGACGGUAC
This 431-nucleotide ribosomal RNA is filed under the name uncultured bacterium. Its description in RNAcentral is "bacterial SSU rRNA". It matches the Rfam family "Bacterial small subunit ribosomal RNA", at positions 28 to 478 of the family's 1533-position model. The record is from RNAcentral.